GCCACAGACAUAUCACCAUGCAGCCCAUUACCAGUUGCUCACUGAAGCUAAGCAGGGCUGAGCCUGGUUAGUACCUGGAUGGAAGACCACAUGGGAAAACUAGUGAGGCC
Molecule: ribosomal RNA, 110 nt
Filed under: Danio rerio (zebrafish)
Lineage: Eukaryota; Metazoa; Chordata; Actinopteri; Cypriniformes; Danionidae
Source: RNAcentral